Brassica napus (rape) is the source of this 1060-nucleotide long non-coding RNA. RefSeq lists it as uncharacterized. Lineage: Eukaryota; Viridiplantae; Streptophyta; Magnoliopsida; Brassicales; Brassicaceae. The record is from RefSeq and is a predicted model, not a curated record. The transcript is spliced from 3 exons.
UUUUUAUGGGUUUCAUGUUUACUUCAGACUUCAGUUAGAAUAAAUUCGUGUUCUUUUUCUUUGCCUCUACAGAACCCAUGUCGAUUAAGUUUUCUAAAUCGCUCUUCCAUCUUCUUCCUCAGAGUAGGAAAUGUUAGGAGUUACCGAAUUAUCAUCUUAAACUCUCCAUUACUUUCUCACACACGAUCUAUAUUCAAUGUGAUUUAUGGAUCAGGCGGUGGAGAUUCAUCUAUAAAAAGAUCCAAAAAUCAAGGUCCGAAAAUGGGCAAAUACAUGAAAAAAUCAAGAUUACCAACAUCGAUACGGAGCCGACCAAGCCAACUUCCCUGGGAGUUUGCACUAGGGCCGCUAAUACCCUAGCUCUGAAGCGGCUCAAUUCCUCCGCCUCUGAUUCCACUCUAGCUGGAGACUCUUCUUGCUACCUUCAGCUCCGCAGCCGCAGGCUCAAGAAACCCCCGGCGCUGACGGAGCCGAAACAGCCGCUGAUGAGAAUUAAGGAGCCUGGCUCGAAGGUUCGGGUUCGGUUCAUGUAGCUCAGAGCUGUAAUGGAGAUUAUUGGUUUGGAAAGUCUGAAGCUUUUUGUGGAGAGGACAGUCCUGCUUUUGAAUCGAGACAAAGUAGCUUUUAAUAUGUAAGAUCAUAUGAAGACUUUCUUCGUAAGUGUAGUGCAAGUACUGUGGUGUGGCAUCACGUUCAUGGGACCUAGCUAAGCUGUUGAGAAGAACUGCGACCUACCUGAUGGGCAAGUGAUGCCAAUUGUUUCUGAGCGGUUCCGUUGUCCUGAGGACCAAGACAUCAGAAAGGAUGCGUACGGUAUAACAUCGUGAUCUGUGGUGGAAGCACAUUUUCUCUGAGAUCGCUAACAAUUUGAGCUAAGAUAUCACAAACCUUUGUCUUCCAACGUGUACCAAGGUUUUUUUUUUUUGUUCUUAUGUAUUUUGAAAUUCUGGCCAAAGACAUUUUCAAAGAUUUAUUGUUCUUAUUUAGUUCAGCUGCCGUGUGAGUGAAUAAUAACACAUCUUUCUCUCUUUAAUUAUUAUGUAGCAUUGUGUUUCAAGUU